Molecule: long non-coding RNA, 1052 nt
Organism: Gadus morhua (Atlantic cod)
Lineage: Eukaryota; Metazoa; Chordata; Actinopteri; Gadiformes; Gadidae
Exons: 4
Source: RefSeq, a predicted model, not a curated record
GUGUCAGCAUCAUCAUCAGGGUCUUCACCUGACACUAUAAUAAUACAGAGGAGCCCUCUGCCAGAAUAUGGGGAAGAGAUCAGUCCAGGACCAUUGACGUCACCUCACUUGGCCAGCAGAGAUGGACGUUCGCCUCACGGUGCUGGUGCUCUAGCAAGGAGAAGCCCACCAUCAUCGCACAGGGCCAGUGGAGGCGGACCAUCCCUUAACUGGGCCAGUGGAGUCUCACCUCCCUCCCACGGGGCCAGUAGAGUCUCACCUCCCUCCCACGGGGCAGUGGAGUCUCACCUCCCUCCCACGGGGCCAGUAGAGUCUCACCUCCCUCCCACGGGGCCAGUGGAGUCUCACCACCCUCCCACGGGGCCAGUAGAGUCUCGCCACCCUCCCACGGGGCCAGUAGAGUCUCACCUCCCUCCCACUGGGCCAGUGGAGUCUCACCUCCCUCCCACGGGGCCAGUAGAGUCUCCCUCCCUCCCACGGGGCCAGUGGAGUCUCACCUCCCUCCCACGGGGCCAGUAGAGUCUCACCUCCCUCCCACGGGGCCAGUGGAGUCUCGCCACCCUCCCACGGGGCCAGUAGAGUCUCACCUCCCUCCCACGGGGCCAGUGGAGUCUCGCCACCCUCCCACGGGGCCAGCGGAUAUGGAUAUUCAACACAAGGGGCCGGUGCCAGUGGACUGGGACCUGACUGGGGCAGCAGACUGGGACCAUCUGACUGGAGAAACACACCUCUGUACUAUGGAGUCCAUGCAGCAUUGGAAACAGCCUAUGGUGAGACUGGCACUUGUCCAUCAGCUUACAGUGUUGGAGCAGCCGGCCCGUUGCCAUAUGGUCCAUCACCUGACGGAGGACAUGCAUCUGACCCACCACCUGGUGAUGGCAAUACAGCCGGCAGAAAAGCGGCCAGCCCACUGCACUACUGGAGAGAAUUAGGCAGCUCAUCAGAUCAGAGCAACGUCCCAACAGCUACUGAGUGGACACCUUGCGAUGGAUGUAAGAAGGAGUUUGAGAAGCUCAUCUGUCAGAAGAGGGAAGUCGAUGAGGUCGCCUCAA